GUGAGGAAUUUUGCGCAAUAGGGGAAACCCUGACGCAGCAACGCCGCGUGAGUGAAGAAGGCCCUCGGGUCGUAAAGCUCUGUCAAGUGGGAAAAAAGCUUACUGGUAAAUAGCCAGCAAGACUGAUGGUACCAUUGAAGGAAGCACCGGCUAACUCCGUGCCAGCAGCCGCGGUAAUACGGAGGGUGCAAGCGUUGUUCGGAAUUACUGGGCGUAAAGGGCGUGUAGGCGGUGUGGUAAGUCAGAUGUGAAAGCCCUGGGCUUAACCCAGGAAGUGCAUUUGAAACUGCCAUGCUUGAGUAUGGGAGAGGAGAGUGGAAUUCCCAGUGUAGAGGUGAAAUUCGUAGAUAUUGGGAGGAACACCCGUGGCGAAGGCGACUCUCUGGACCAAUACUGACGCUGAGGCGCGAAAGCGUGGGGAGCAAACAGGAUUAGAAACCCCAGUAGUCC
This 450-nucleotide ribosomal RNA is filed under the name uncultured bacterium. Its description in RNAcentral is "bacterial SSU rRNA". It matches the Rfam family "Bacterial small subunit ribosomal RNA", at positions 354 to 796 of the family's 1533-position model. The record is from RNAcentral.